GACGAACGCUGGCGGCGUGCUUAACACAUGCAAGUCGAACGGAAAGGCCCUGCUUUUGUGGGGUGCUCGAGUGGCGAACGGGUGAGUAACACGUGAGUAACCUGCCCUUGACUUUGGGAUAACUUCAGGAAACUGGGGCUAAUACCGGAUAGGAGCUCCUGCUGCAUGGUGGGGGUUGGAAAGUUUCGGCGGUUGGGGAUGGACUCGCGGCUUAUCAGCUUGUUGGUGGGGUAGUGGCUUACCAAGGCUUUGGCGGGUAGCCGGCCUGAGAGGGUGACCGGCCACAUGGGGCCUGAGGUACGGCGCAGACUCCUACGGGAGGCAGCAGUGGGGAAUAUUGCACAAUGGGCGGAAGCCUGAUGCAGCAACGCCGCGUGCGGGAUGACGGCCUUCGGGUUGUAAACCGCUUUCGCCUGUGACGAAGCGUGAGUGACGGUAAUGGGUAAAGAAGCACCGGCUAACUACGUG
RNAcentral lists this ribosomal RNA (468 nucleotides) under uncultured bacterium. RNAcentral describes it as "partial 16S ribosomal RNA". It matches the Rfam family "Bacterial small subunit ribosomal RNA", at positions 28 to 507 of the family's 1533-position model. The record is from RNAcentral.